CAUGCCCGCACCAUAAUCACCCCCACCCUCACCGG
RNAcentral lists this small RNA (35 nucleotides) under Propionibacterium australiense. RNAcentral describes it as "CRISPR_Spacer". The record is from RNAcentral. Lineage: Bacteria; Bacillati; Actinomycetota; Actinomycetes; Propionibacteriales; Propionibacteriaceae.